UCCAGCACGGACCGCCGAGAUUGGAGCCUCCGCAC
This 35-nucleotide small RNA is filed under the name Bombyx mori (domestic silkworm). RNAcentral's name for it is "ovarian small RNA-26787". The record is from RNAcentral. Lineage: Eukaryota; Metazoa; Arthropoda; Insecta; Lepidoptera; Bombycidae.